GACGAACGCUGGCGGCGUGCCUAAUACAUGCAAGUAGAACGCACAGUUUAUACCGUAGCUUGCUACACCAUAGACUGUGAGUUGCGAACGGGUGAGUAACGCGUAGGUAACCUGCCUGGUAGCGGGGGAUAACUAUUGGAAACGAUAGCUAAUACCCCAUAAUAUUAAUUAUUGCAUGAUAAUUAAUUGAAAGGUGCAAUUGCACCACUACCAGAUGGACCUGCGUUGUAUUAGCUAGUAGGUGAGGUAACGGCUCACCUAGGCGACGAUACAUAGCCGACCUGAGAGGGUGAUCGGCCACACUGGGACUGAGACACGGCCCAGACUCCUACGGGAGGCAGCAGUAGGGAAUCUUCGGCAAUGGACGAAAGUCUGACCGAGCAACGCCGCGUGAGUGAAGAAGGUUUUCGGAUCGUAAAGCUCUGUUGUAAGAGAAGAACGGGUGUGAGAGUGGAAAGUUCACACUGUGACGGUAUCUUACCAGAAAGGGACGGCUAACUACGUG
This 505-nucleotide ribosomal RNA is filed under the name uncultured bacterium. RNAcentral's name for it is "partial 16S ribosomal RNA". It matches the Rfam family "Bacterial small subunit ribosomal RNA", at positions 28 to 507 of the family's 1533-position model. The record is from RNAcentral.